AGUGAACGCUGGCGGCGUGCUUAACACAUGCGAGUCGAACGAGAACGGGUUAUAGCUUGCUAUAAUUGUCAGCUAAGUGGCGCACGGGUGAGUAAUGUAUAGGUAAUAUGCCUCUUACUAAGGGAUAACAAAUGGAAACGUUUGCUAAUACCUUAUACUCCUUAUUAACAGAAGUUAAUAAGGGAAAGAUUUAUUGGUAAGAGAUUAGCCUGUAUUAUAUCAGUUAGUUGGUGGUGUAAUGGCUUACCAAGACUAUGACACAUAACUGGUUUGAGAGGAUGAGCAGGAGAAGUGGGACUGAGAACCGUUCCAGACUAUUACGGGAGGAAGCAGUGGGGAAUAUUGCACAAUGGACGAAAGUCUGAUGCAGCAACGCCGCGUGGAGGAUUACACAUUUCGGUGCGUAAACUCCUUUUAUAUGAGAAGAUAAUGACGGUAUUAUAUGAAUAAGCACCGGCUAACUCCGUGCCAGCCGCCGCGGUAA
RNAcentral lists this ribosomal RNA (484 nucleotides) under uncultured bacterium. RNAcentral describes it as "partial 16S ribosomal RNA". It matches the Rfam family "Bacterial small subunit ribosomal RNA", at positions 29 to 523 of the family's 1533-position model. The record is from RNAcentral.